GAGUUCAGAGAUACAGUGUGUGAUUACUGUCCUGCUGGUUCAUAUUCAAAUGGUACAUUCUGCAAAUUGCAUACAAACUGUGCAUCUCUUGACAAAAUAACAAUCAAGGAAGGAACAGAUAAGACUGAUGCUGAGUGCAGUAACAGAGCACCUUAUUUACUGCCACUGAUUCUGUGUGGAGUGUUUUCGCUGUCGUUUAUUGUCAUAAUUGUAA
Sinocyclocheilus anshuiensis is the source of this 214-nucleotide long non-coding RNA. RefSeq lists it as uncharacterized. The transcript is spliced from 2 exons. The record is from RefSeq and is a predicted model, not a curated record. NCBI's taxonomy places the organism in Eukaryota, Metazoa, Chordata, Actinopteri, Cypriniformes, Cyprinidae.